UCAAAAAAGCCAAAAUGAUAGAAAUACUCUCUCUUCCCCUACAGAAAAUCUUGCUGCGCUGAAGGAUGGGUGACACGUGGGUGAUCUGGAUUCAGCCCUGAGACUUCUGCCGGGACGUUGCCUGUGCACACGUGAUGGCUUCCACAGCCUACAGAAGGGUGAUGAAGAUGCUCUCUCAGGUUGGACACCACCCCCUUCCCCAAUAAUAAUCGCCAGUUCCAGGCUUACUUCUACCUCCAAAAGCAACAGAAAUUACAGACUAGUCAAGUCUGUCUUGGCAAAGGCUAUGCUGGAUCAACCAUCACUUUGGAAGGAGUAAGGAAUGAGCGCUGUGGCAAUGCACUGAGCUCUGAAAAACAGCUCAGGAUUCAAGUGGCUACUUCUCAAGAGAUUAGAUCAAGCAGUAUAAAACAAAUUCAUUGGAAACACCACAGGUGCUUCCUUGCCCUCCACCUGCCUCCGUCCGGAAAGAAGGAAUAUUAUAUUCACCUUGCAUCAAGUUGUCUCCUGGGCUCCUGUGUUUCAGGCUGCAGUAAAAGUUGGUCUUGGCUUGCUCUCAACUUCCUCCUGCUCGGCUGGAAAAAGAGCAGGACCGACUAUGAGACCGUUGCGGUUACUUUUGCAGAAGGUCUCUUCAGCAGCCAGGGUAGGGAGCAGGGCCUCUACGCUGCUGAGGACUAACUCAAGAGCUGUGUCUUCAGAAUUUUGGUCAUCGCUGUAGCCUGCAAAACCUGCCAAGCCUUUGGGAACCCCCUCCCCUCCCACAACCAAAUCCCCAAACUUAAUGCUACUGCAGGACUGGGAAGGUCGCCCCCACAGGCUCAUACUGCAAUCCCGAGUACAGGGCCUGGAAGACUCUCCCACUGAAAAAGCCCUUCCUUCCUCAGGCUCUGAUCCUGGCUUGUCCUUCACAGAAGAGGCUUUUUUCCUGUGGCUGUGACAAGGCAGCCGGGCAGCUGUGGACGCUGUGAUGAAACUGCUCAGCCUGCUGAGAGCGGCACAGAGCUAGGAGAGAGCUGGUGCUCCGCAGAGUCAGCAGGAGAGAUAAAGGAAAGCAAAAUCACUGCCCUUUAUGAGGCUGGAGCUUUUUCUUCACCUAGGGAGAGAAGCAGCUUUAUAUUUCACCCCUCACAUACCUGGAAACAAAUAAGUAGAGGUCUGAAUGUUUUUGUCACAGGUCGCCAUCCGUGAGGCUGGCUGAUUAUAUGAUGAAACACAUGCCGGCACUACAGUAUCGUGAACCUUUAAUCUGCCACCUCAGCAUUCACUCUCUGAAAUAACCAGCAGGAAAAUAAGGGUGUAGCAAUUCCCCCUAGCAUUAACAGCAGCAGCGGUGAUUUACAUGGUGCCCUGAAAAAGAGGCUCUUCAACGAAGCGUCAGCUCGGGGAGUUAUUCCACCAUUACGACCCUUUCUCAGUUCUGCUGCGUGCUCUGGUGUUGUCUAGAAAACGCACGCGCCAACCGGUAAAUUCCCUGGCGGGAAUCUCGUGGAUGACAGGCCGAGAGCAACAAACGCGUUUUGAUUCGGCAGCCCUCUAAACGCUUCUCUUUUCCUACUUCCCUGGAGCACAGAACAGAGCUCACGGAAGUAACACUUCCCGUAAGAGCAGAUCGCUCUCCCUCCAGCUCCGCUAACUGAAUUUUGCCUGCUUCUUUCCGGACUUUCCACGGUAGGCGCGCUCCGCGUCGCCGAUGGGCAC
This is a long non-coding RNA of Struthio camelus australis, 1701 nucleotides long. The record is from Ensembl. NCBI's taxonomy places the organism in Eukaryota, Metazoa, Chordata, Aves, Struthioniformes, Struthionidae.